RNAcentral lists this ribosomal RNA (161 nucleotides) under uncultured bacterium. RNAcentral's name for it is "partial 16S rRNA". It matches the Rfam family "Bacterial small subunit ribosomal RNA", at positions 355 to 507 of the family's 1533-position model. The record is from RNAcentral.
UGGGGAAUUUUGGGCAAUGGCCGAAAGGCUGACCCAGCGACGCCGCGUGCGGGAGGACGCCCUUCGGGGUGUAAACCGCUGUCAGAGGGGACGAAAGGCCGGGGUGGGAAUACUGCCCUGGAGUGACGGUACCCUCAGAGGAAGCACCGGCUAACUCUGUG